AUGAUCUGUUUUAUAUCUUCAAGUCUGCGGUAAAAAUAUAUCUUUUUGGUAUAAUGGACAGAAAAGACAGAGAACACAGACAGGGCUGUUUGAAUAUGCCAUAAAUAAUUGUACUCCAACUACUUAGACACUGAAAAUGGAUGCACACAGUUCUUUGAUUUCUCUGGUAUUUUGAUUUAUUUGUUUGUAAAAUAAAAUUGCCAUUAGACUUGCAGAUAUUGAGUCCCCUCUACAAAAUCAAAACUUUUUUGUAAAAAAAAAAAUGAAUGGAGAAAUAAUAUUAUGUAAUAAAAUGGUGAAGAAGGAAAUAGUUGGAGUCAUAUGAUCGAAGAAGAUGGCGCAUGCGUCAGACAAUUGCUCUCUGUACAUGGACCAUGGUGACUUGAUUCCUCUUCUUUCAUUUAAUGCAGGCCUAUGUUUUUGUGAAUUUCCAUGUAAGGAUCCUUGGAUGAGUAGGACGACCAGUUACUCUUCAAUGACCCGAUUCUUCAUCUUCCCCGUGAUAUAAAAUAAAAACACAACGACAGGAUAAAGAAUCUAUCGUCAUACUCACAUUGAAAACAGUGCUGGAUAUUAUAUCUGCAAAACCGGCCAUUUUGAAGUUUUGAUGCCAUCCUUGAAUCUGAUUCCAAAAUAAUGGACAGAUGCAAUUUUAAUGUAUUGAAGAGAUUUUUAGAUUAUU
Saccostrea cuccullata (small rock oyster) is the source of this 682-nucleotide long non-coding RNA. RefSeq lists it as uncharacterized. The record is from RefSeq and is a predicted model, not a curated record. Lineage: Eukaryota; Metazoa; Mollusca; Bivalvia; Ostreida; Ostreidae. The transcript is spliced from 2 exons.